Molecule: ribosomal RNA, 489 nt
Filed under: uncultured bacterium
Lineage: Bacteria
Description: bacterial SSU rRNA
Rfam family: Bacterial small subunit ribosomal RNA
Source: RNAcentral
GAUGAACGCUAGCGGGAGGCCUAAUACAUGCAAGUCGAGCGGUAGAGUGACUUCGGUUGCUUGAGAGCGGCGAACGGGUGAGUAACGCGUACACAAUCUACCUUUAAGAGGGGAAUAGCCCUGGGAAACUGGGAUUAAUGCCCCAUGGCAUCACGAGACGGCAUCGUUUUGUGAUUAAAGCUGAGGUGCUUAGAGAUGAGUGUGCGUCUGAUUAGCUAGUUGGUGCGGUAACGGCGCACCAAGGCGACGAUCAGUAGGGGGCGUGAGAGCGUGGACCCCCACACGGGUACUGAGACACGGACCCGACUCCUACGGGAGGCAGCAGUAAGGAAUAUUGGUCAAUGGAGGAAACUCUGAACCAGCCAUCCCGCGUGCAGGAAGAAUGCCCUAUGGGUUGUAAACUGCUUUUAUCUGGGAAGAAAGUCGGGAUUUAUCCUGAUCUGACGGUACCAGAGGAAUAAGCACCGGCUAACUCCGUGCCAGCAGCCG